CACGCUUAACACAUGCAAGUCGAACGGUAACAGGGACUUCGGUCCGCUGACGAGUGGCGCACGGGUGAGUAACGCGUAGGAAACCUAUCCAGAGGUGGGGGACAACAUUCGGAAACGGAUGCUAAUACCGCAUACCUUCUAUGGAAGAAAGGCUUCGGCCGCCCUUGGCGGGUCCUGCGUCGGAUUAGUUAGUUGGUGGGGUAACGGCCUACCAAGACGUCGAUCCGUAGCUGGUCUGAGAGGAUGAUCAGCCACACUGGGACUGAGACACGGCCCAGACUCCUACGGGAGGCAGCAGUGGGGAAUAUUGCGCAAUGGGCGAAAGCCUGACGCAGCAAUGCCGCGUGAGUGAAGAAGGUCUUCGGAUUGUAAAGCUCUUUCAGUAGGGACGAUAAUGACGGUACCUACAGAAGAAGCUCCGGCUAACUCCGUGCCAGCAGCCGCGGUAAUACGGAGGGAGCAAGCGUUGUUCGGAAUUACUGGGCGUAAAGGGCGCGCAGGCGGUUUGUCAAGCCAGAAGUGAAAUCUCCGGGCUCAACCCGGAAAUGGCUUUUGGAACUGACAGACUAGAGACCGGUAGAGGAUAGUGGAAUUCCCCGUGUAGAGGUGAAAUUCGUAGAUAUGGGGAGGAACACCAGAGGCGAAGGCGGCUAUCUGGACCGGUACUGACGCUGAGGCGCGAAAGCGUGGGGAGCAAACAGGAUUAGAUACCCUGGUAGUCCACGCUGUAAACGAUGAGUGCUAGUUGUCGGGGGUAUCGACCCCUCCGGUAACGAAGUAAACGCGUUAAGCACUCCGCCUGGGGAGUACGGUCGCAAGAUUAAAACUCAAAGGAAUUGACGGGGGGCCCGCACAAGCGGUGGAGCAUGUGGUUUAAUUCGAUGCAACGCGAAGAACCUUACCUGCCUUUGACAUCCUGUGGAUCUUAUAGAGAUAUAGGAGUGCCCUUCGGGGA
This 955-nucleotide ribosomal RNA is filed under the name uncultured bacterium. RNAcentral describes it as "bacterial SSU rRNA". It matches the Rfam family "Bacterial small subunit ribosomal RNA", at positions 43 to 1026 of the family's 1533-position model. The record is from RNAcentral.